Molecule: ribosomal RNA, 433 nt
Filed under: uncultured bacterium
Lineage: Bacteria
Description: partial 16S ribosomal RNA
Rfam family: Bacterial small subunit ribosomal RNA
Source: RNAcentral
AACGAACGCUGGCGGCAUGCCUAACACAUGCAAGUCGAACGAGACCUUCGGGUCUAGUGGCGCACGGGUGCGUAACGCGUGGGAACCUGCCCUUAGGUUCGGAAUAACUCCCCGAAAGGGGUGCUAAUACCGGAUAUUGUCUUCGGACCAAAGAUUUAUCGCCUUUGGAUGGGCCCGCAUUGGAUUAGCUAGUUGGUAGGGUAAAAGCCUACCAAGGCGACGAUCCAUAGCUGGUCUGAGAGGAUGAUCAGCCACACUGGGACUGAGACACGGCCCAGACUCCUACGGGAGGCAGCAGUGGGGAAUAUUGGACAAUGGGCGAAAGCCUGAUCCAGCAAUGCCGCGUGAGUGAUGAAGGCCUUAGGGUUGUAAAGCUCUUUUACCCGGGAUGAUAAUGACAGUACCGGGAGAAUAAGCUCCGGCUAACUCCGUG